This 702-nucleotide long non-coding RNA is filed under the name Trifolium pratense (red clover). Its description in RNAcentral is "long non-coding RNA (TPRA_LNC008457)". The record is from RNAcentral. Lineage: Eukaryota; Viridiplantae; Streptophyta; Magnoliopsida; Fabales; Fabaceae.
GAGACACUGAAUAAUAAUUCUAAUUUCAAGAAUGAUUUUUUAUAAGUCCAUAAGAGUUAAAAAAAUAUUUAUUUAAUGAAAGGAGAGGAUGAGAUUAAUAAAUUAUAAAGUGGCAAAAUCAUUUGUUACAUGCAAAGGAAAAAGUAUGGCUGAAAUUGUCAAAUUUAUUUAUGUUAUGAUUUUCUUUCUUUUCAUAUUUCUUCUUUCCAUGAACGUAGAUGGUAAGUUGUUUUAUAUUCUUUUCAUAUUUCUUCUUUACUUCGAACAAAAUAUUUCAUUUUAUUUUAGUUACAUUUUUUCUUCUCAUUAUAGCAGGUGAUAGACGUACACAAGAUUUUGUUUUUGCACUAAAAUGUACAACUGAGAUUCAAUGUCAAUUCAUGCAUUGUCGCUUUCCUUUCCCUAUGGCGAAGUGUCUCAUUUCAAAAUGUAGAUGUUGUAAACGUAUUGCGAAUGAUUAUGUGUGUACAGACUAGAAUAUUAUGUGAGCUACCAUAUAGUUAUUAUGUUGGCACCCAAUAAUUUAAGUUUUUUUUUUCUUUUCUAUUUUCAAGAACCUUAUAUAAAACCAAUAAAGUAGAUUCUAGGAACGAACUGGAAAAAUUAAGUCUCAAGAGUAGAGAUUCUAAUGACCUAGAAUAGAAUCCGGUACCAAAGAGAAAUUAUGCAAAACAUAAUAUUGAAUGAGAAAGUUUUUUUAGA